Phthorimaea operculella (potato tuberworm) is the source of this 76-nucleotide non-coding RNA. The record is from the annotation of a GenBank genome assembly. Lineage: Eukaryota; Metazoa; Arthropoda; Insecta; Lepidoptera; Gelechiidae.
ACCGCGGUAGCCCAGUUGCUAGUGGCGUCGGCAGUACAGAUGCCAAAGGUCGCAGGUUCAAAUCCUGCCUGAGGUG